This 410-nucleotide ribosomal RNA is filed under the name Trithemis aurora (dawn dropwing). RNAcentral's name for it is "partial 12S ribosomal RNA". Lineage: Eukaryota; Metazoa; Arthropoda; Insecta; Odonata; Libellulidae. The record is from RNAcentral.
CUAUGGUAAUAAUAGUUAUGUUCUUGAAACCCAAAGAAUUUGGCGGUAUUUUAUUCUUUUUAGAGGAACCUGUCCUGUAAUUGAUAACCCACGAUGGAGAGUUACUUAUUUUUGUUUCCAUUUUGUAUACCUCCGUCAUCAGAAUAUCUUUUUAGAGAAAAUAUUCUAAUAACACUAAAUGAGAUAUGUCAGGUCAAGGUGCAAUUUAUGAAUAAGUAGAGAUGGGUUACAAUAAAAAUAUUUAUACGGAUUAUAAUUAUUAUCUAUUUAUAUGAAGGUGGAUUUAAAAGUAAAAUUGUUUACUUAUCAAUUUGAUUUUAGCUCUAAAAUAUGCACACAUCGCCCGUCGCUCUUAUUUUAAAAUAAGAUAAGUCGUAACAUAGUAGAUGUACCGGAAGGUGUAUCUAGUA